UACGGAGGGUGCGAGCGUUAAUCGGAAUUACGGGGCGUAAAGCGUGCGCAGGCGGUUUGUUAAGCGAGAUGUGAAAGCCCCGGGCUCAACCUGGGAACCGCAUUUCGAACUGGCAAACUAGAGUCUUGUAGAGGGGGGUAGAAUUCCAGGUGUAGCGGUGAAAUGCGUAGAGAUCUGGAGGAAUACCGGUGGCGAAGGCGGCCCCCUGGACAAAGACUGACGCUCAGGCACGAAAGCGUGGGGAGCAAACAGG
RNAcentral lists this ribosomal RNA (253 nucleotides) under uncultured microorganism. RNAcentral describes it as "partial 16S ribosomal RNA". It matches the Rfam family "Bacterial small subunit ribosomal RNA", at positions 524 to 776 of the family's 1533-position model. The record is from RNAcentral.